RNAcentral lists this ribosomal RNA (447 nucleotides) under uncultured bacterium. Its description in RNAcentral is "bacterial SSU rRNA". It matches the Rfam family "Bacterial small subunit ribosomal RNA", at positions 29 to 506 of the family's 1533-position model. The record is from RNAcentral.
ACUGACGCUGGCGGCGUGCCUAACACAUGCAAGUCGAACGAGCAGCAAUGCUAGUGGCAGACGGGUGAGUAACGCGUAGGUAAUCUGCCCAUCGAUGGGGGACAACUAGCCGAAAGGUUGGCUAAUACCGCAUACGCUGGAUGCCCGAGAGGGGAUUCAGGAAAGAUUUAUUGUCGAUGGAUGAGCCUGCGUCCGAUUAGCUAGUUGGUGAGGGUAAUGGCCCACCAAGGCGACGAUCGGUAGCUGGUCUGAGAGGACGAUCAGCCACACUGGAACUGAGACACGGUCCAGACUCCUACGGGAGGCAGCAGUGGGGAAUUUUCCGCAAUGGGCGAAAGCCUGACGGAGCAACGCCGCGUGGAUGAUGAAGGCUUUCGGGUCGUAAAGUCCUUUCAGCAGGGACGAGCAGAAGACGGUACCUGCAGAAGAAGCAUCGGCUAACUACGU